RNAcentral lists this ribosomal RNA (483 nucleotides) under uncultured bacterium. RNAcentral describes it as "partial 16S ribosomal RNA". It matches the Rfam family "Bacterial small subunit ribosomal RNA", at positions 30 to 506 of the family's 1533-position model. The record is from RNAcentral.
AUUGAACGCUGGCGGCAGGCCUAACACAUGCAAGUCGAGCGGAUGAAGGGAGCUUGCUCCUGGAUUCAGCGGCGGACGGGUGAGUAAUGCCUAGGAAUCUGCCUGGUAGUGGGGGAUAACGUCCGGAAACGGGCGCUAAUACCGCAUACGUCCUGAGGGAGAAAGUGGGGGAUCUUCGGACCUCACGCUAUCAGAUGAGCCUAGGUCGGAUUAGCUAGUUGGCGGGGUAAAGGCCUACCAAGGCGACGAUCCGUAACUGGUCUGAGAGGAUGAUCAGUCACACUGGAACUGAGACACGGUCCAGACUCCUACGGGAGGCAGCAGUGGGGAAUAUUGGACAAUGGGCGAAAGCCUGAUCCAGCCAUGCCGCGUGUGUGAAGAAGGUCUUCGGAUUGUAAAGCACCUUAAGUUGGGAGGAAGGGCAGUAAGUUAAUACCUUGCUGUUUUGACGUUACCAACAGAAUAAGCACCGGCUAACUUCGU